This 4561-nucleotide unclassified non-coding RNA is filed under the name Leishmania donovani. RNAcentral describes it as "gene:LdHU3.18.0150(CDS-product:Domain_of_unknown_ function_DUF21_putative)". Lineage: Eukaryota; Euglenozoa; Kinetoplastea; Trypanosomatida; Trypanosomatidae. The record is from RNAcentral.
UGGCCGAUCGCUAUACUUCUUUUCUUAUGUGACGCACAUUUUUCACUUUUACUUUUCGCCUCGUUUUUUUUUUGCCGUCUCACUUCCUCCCCAACGCGUUAUCUCUCUCCUUCACCACUUCGCAGUAUCAAUCGACUUGUUGUGCAGCCUUGUUCCUGAGUGUGUGCGCGGUGGAUGCGAGUCCUCGGGCGCAGCCACAUUCAGCAGCCAUAGUCGCGAAUAGUCGUAGCGCCCACCAACACGUGCGUGGCACACGAAUACAAGCACAUGCAUGAGCACGCACGCAGGCACCUCUAACGCGCUCCGCACCUCGGGUUUCUUUUGUUUUUCUUUGUUUCUCGUACAGCCCAUACCAAGGCCUCUGUACUCCUUUCGCGGGUCUUUGUGAAAAGGUCGGUGAGUGCUGCGCGUGUCACGGCCCUUAUCCACAACACCCAUUUUCUUAAAUCGUCAGCAUCUCCUCUUCCCUCUUCUUCACGUUCUUCUCACGUGCGCCGCCUGCUUCGUCACUGCAGCACCACUGCAGGGCACGCCAAAAGAGAAGCGUUUUUGGUACAAAAACGUGCAGGAAGCUCCCAUAUUACCGUUAAGUGGCGUUUGGUGUAUCGUUUCUCUCCCCCUGCCUUCUUAUUGUUCGCUCUUUUUUUUUCGGUAAUUUCUUUUUGGUCCGCGGGCCCGCCUUCUGGUCGUUUUUUCCCGCGUGCUGUGCCUAGCCGUGUGGCUCUGUUCAGGCAGCGGGAGUGAGAGGCGAUAGAGCAGAAAAAGGACAGAGCAAGCGCCUUCUUUCUGUGGGGAUCUCUGUGUUUGUGCGGUUUUUCGUGCACUUCUUUUUGGCAUCGUUGCGCGACGGCAUGCGAGGCGUAAGCUCGGGUUCUCCAGUUAUGUUUUGUUUUUCUCCAUUCGCUUAUCUCUUUUUCUCUACACGCGUGCCGCCUCCUUCCAGAUCAGAGGAUUAGCGGCGUGUGACGGGCGAAGGGCGGGAAAGACACGCAAGCACACACCAGCCUCUCCCACAUUUUUCAAGAUGAAUGCAAGGCACUCUCGUGCCUCGGCCGUGCGGUCGAUUCGGCUCUGCAUCCUGUUCGCCGCGUACGGCGUUUUUCUCGCCGCGACGCUCGGUGCAAACGGAAACUCCUUCAUCAAAGACCCCUCACAGAUGACGGAGAAGAAACUGGCGAACGAGAACCGAAAGCAGACGAAGCGCGUCUACACCUUGCUGGAUCACUCGCUACGAAUUUGCAUGUACGCCUUUCUGUCCGCGGUCUUUGCCGGACUGACCCUUGGUGUCAUGUGCGCCAACACCUUUACCCUCGAGAUCAUCGCCGAAAGUGGGCCGACACCGGAUUGCAAGUACGCCGCGACCUUGCUACCACUGCGCAAACAAGGGCACAAGACGCUCUCGACCCUCAUCAUAUCCAACAUGCUGUGCAACGUCCUCAUCGUGCAGGAGUUCAACGAUGUCUUCAAUGUGGUGGAGGCCAUCCGUACUCGGGGCACGAGAACGCACGUGGUGGACAACAAAGGCUCCGGUAUUUGGAAGUUCAUCGGAAGCACAUUAGUCAUUGUACUGUUUGCCGAGAUUUUGCCCAUGUCGAUCUGCCGCUCCAAGUAUUCCCUUCGUGUCGCCGCGGCGGGCUCCGUUUUCGUGAACGUGGCCAUGAUCCUCACGUACCCGCUGUCAGCCACGCUAGGCUGGUUCCUUGAUGUCGUGGUGGGCAGCGAGGAGACAGGACAGUUGUACGACAAGAAGGAACUGCGCAAGCUGAUGGUAAUGCACUACGAACGCGAAGGUGACGAUGGCGCGCACAUGGCCAAGUCCGAGCUGAAGCUGCUGCUUGCCGCCAUGGAUUUCCAUGAGCGCAAAGUGCGCGAUAUCAUGACGCCGAUCGAGAAGGCGACGUGCGUCCGCGGCACGGACCUCAUCACGCCGGACUUUUUGGAGAUGCUGUGGAAGUCGGGCCGCUCGCGAGUGCCGGUCGAGUCGGCGCCUGGCGUGUUCGAAAGCGUCCUCGUUGUCAAGGACUUGAUGACGGUGAACACGCCCUUGGAGUUUUCGCCGCUGACGGUGGCGCAGGUGGUCAAAGCGAAGGACCGCCUGUUCGCGAUGGUGUGCGCCGCCACGUCGCUGCCGUCGAUGCUCAAAUUCUUUCUGGAAGCAAAGACGCAUAUGGCGGUCGUCUUCGAGGAGGACGCGAACAUCAUCGGCGCCGCGAUUCCGGCGAUCAUGACCGACUUUGAUUCGUGGCGGAUGGAAUCCUCAGGGGCACGCGGCUUUGCAGCGACGCACCCGAAAAUUGUCGGCAUUGUCACGAUGGAGGACGUUGUGGAGGAGUUGCUGGCGUCCGAGAUCUACGACGAGUACGACAGCUAUGACCCGGUGGAGCGCGAGCCGCGGUACGCCGCCGUCGACAUCCCCGGCAACGACCGCUACCCCAACACCCUACACUUACCGAGCGAGCCCGAAACGCCGCCGCGCGUCAACUUCUACUCGUACUUCACUCACCCCACCGAGAGUAUUCCGCUAACGGACUCCCAGGUCUGGGCCGUCGCGUACUACCUCAACCGCACGGUUCCUUGCUUCUACAGCUGGCAGCCGCCGUACAUCAAGCUGCUACUGGACGAGUGCAAAGAUCUGCAGCUGUGCGCCAUGGCCCUCAGCCAGCAGAACGGCACACCGGAUAUGCUUUUGAGCACGCCACCUGACCAGAUGCAUGACAGCAACAGCACGACGAGCUCCCAGACGGGCGGUGUGCAGGGGACGCUGUCAUCUUCGCAGUUCUUCUUCAAGGGCGGUCACGCCCAGUUCCUCAACGCAGUGAGCGACCAAUCGCACAUUUUGUACUCACGCGGCAUCCGCUCCGACCGCCUACUCCUCGUACUGGGCGGUUGCGUGGAGCUGCUCGUCGGCUGCGAGGCGUUCCGCGCGAAGCUGCAGAGCUUCAACUACAUCGGCGAAGAGGCCCUCACGACGCCGUUCUUUGUGCCGGACUACAGCGCUGCUGUGAUCACGGCGGCGCGUGUAUACAGCAUCCCAAAGGUGCUUUUCGAGAAGUACCAAUACUACCAGUUCGCUAGUCGUCAGCGCAGCAGCAACGUGCGCAUCCUCAGCCCUGGCGUGCCGACCUUGCUGCGCCACUCCGCAUCUCGUCAAGGUAUGAGCACGAUGGCCAGCAGCGAGCGUGACAGCCUCCUGGGUCACCGUACGGAUAGCGCGCAAGCGCUACAGAGACAGUACGGCACCACGAGCAAGAAGAUGCUAUAGCGCGGAGUGCAUCCGAUAGGAGAAAGAGGGAGGGACUGGCCCAGUGCAGACGGCCAGUGCUGAGGCAAGCGAGAGGGAGAAGCCUGUGCGUUUCUGUUGUGGUCUUGGGAAGCACGGCUUUGUAUUGAGAUAUACCUUGCUAUGCGGUGCACAAGUUUAGGGCUGGGUGAUUGCAGAACGUCUCGUCUCUCCGCGGGUCAUAUGUGCUCCUCCUCCUCAUCGCUCGCGCGGGGUGGGUCGACUGUCGUUUUCAGGAGAGAAGCUCAGGCGUCAGUGUGGGCAGAGUAGCCCAAUUCUGCGUAGAAGACAAUAUAAGUAGCAGGGGGGAAGGAUGAAAUCAGUCAACCUGUGAGCUGCCAAGCCGCAAAGUGAGAAGGGGCGAGGGGGAGGUAAUGAAAUGCCGCCAGCAACUCCCCCAAAGGCAAGACAACCCACUUGGAGAGAAAUACCGAAAGAAAAAAAAGCAGUAUCGGUCGGGGCGCACGGGCAAGAUACUUCCCCAACAGCCGAACCGCGUCUCGGGAGCGUGGGAGCGGCAGAGGCGAUAGCCGCGUGAGAUACUCGCUGCGCUCCAACAAGCACGGCCUCUCGGCCUCUUGGCGCUUCCCGCUUUGUUUCGUUUCAUUGCCGAGAAGCAACCAGAGGUGACGGUUAUCCGCGCUGUUUGUCGUUGGAAGACUCGCGCCCCGUCUCUCGCUCUUGCUCUCUCCCUGUGACGUACGUCCGUGUGUUUCUUUCCUCUUCACGUUGCCCCGGCUGCUCGGCUGCGCUAACCAUAUAAGUCGAUGGACAUGCUCAUUGAAUCACAAGCAGGUCCACAGAUUGACGCAUACAACACUAGUUCAUCUGCCUCUGCUCUAAUAGAGCCAUGCCGCGGCACCGGAUCAACCAACACUGUUUGGCUUCGGUCAGCCCACUGCAAUUCUACUGCGCACAGCGCACGCGGGGUGCACGAUUGCUCUCGGCAUCGCCGCAACGUAGCGAAGGCGUAAAAGGAAUGUUUCGCUAAAAGGUAGGCGCAUCCUCAUAUUUGUCGAAUCGCCCACACGGUGUUUAGUGAGCUGGUACAGCCGCGGUCAUGACCGCACGUCUCUUCGGCACAGCGCUAGCCCGGGCCCUCUCCGCCGACGCUAGGAGUCCUCCAGCCGUCUCCGAGGGCCGGCUGCAUGCUGCGUGGCUUCCCCGCAGAGUGGGUGCCAAACCCUGAUGCCACGCACUGAGGUGGCCGGCAGCAUGUGGGCAUACUAUCGGACCAAGGAAAAGGCAAAGACACGCCUUGUGGUGAAUCUGCCGUGUACC